Molecule: non-coding RNA, 483 nt
Organism: Mastomys coucha (southern multimammate mouse)
Lineage: Eukaryota; Metazoa; Chordata; Mammalia; Rodentia; Muridae
Source: the annotation of a RefSeq genome assembly
AUGGGGUUUCUCUCUGAAGCUGCUGGUGCUCAGGAACUCGGGACUCAGUGUCAGGCUGGCGGUGUCUUGCUGCAGAUGUUGGGGUUUGUUCUCUAUCUUUUCUUGAUGGUGGGAGGUGCUGCAGGACAGGGCGUGGAGCAGCCUGCCAACUUGAUGUCUGUGGAAGGAACCUUUGCUCAGAUCAACUGCACAUACAGGACUUCAGGGUUCAAUGGCUUAUCCUGGUACCAGCAACAUGAAGGCCAGGCACCUGUAUUUCUUUCUUAUGAUGUGUUGGAUGGUUUGAAGGACAGUGGGCGUUUCUCCACAUUCCUGAGCCGCUCGAAUGGGUACAGUUACCUGCUUCUGACAAAGCUCAAGAUCAAAGACGCUGCCUCAUAUCUCUGUGCUGUGAGGGACACGGUGACUCUGCUACCUCUGGAGCUGUACAGAAAUUCAGCAGCAGAGGUGGAGUUACAUUUCCUUAGUGUGCGUUUGCUGUGA